RNAcentral lists this unclassified non-coding RNA (165 nucleotides) under uncultured Penicillium. Its description in RNAcentral is "sequence contains ITS2". Lineage: Eukaryota; Fungi; Ascomycota; Eurotiomycetes; Eurotiales; Aspergillaceae. The record is from RNAcentral.
CUGCCCAUCAAGCGCGGCUUGUGUGUUGGGCCACCGUCCCCCCUCGGGGGGGGACGGGCCCGAAAGGCAGCGGCGGCACCGCGUCCGGUCCUCGAGCGUAUGGGGCUCUGUCACCCGCUCUGGAGGCCCGGCCGGCGCCUGCCGACCCCAACCUUUUUUUAACCA